Molecule: ribosomal RNA, 1976 nt
Filed under: Escherichia coli
Lineage: Bacteria; Pseudomonadati; Pseudomonadota; Gammaproteobacteria; Enterobacterales; Enterobacteriaceae
Description: partial 23S ribosomal RNA
Rfam family: Bacterial large subunit ribosomal RNA
Source: RNAcentral
GGGUUGUGAGGUUAAGCGACUAAGCGUACACGGUGGAUGCCCUGGCAGUCAGAGGCGAUGAAGGACGUGCUAAUCUGCGAUAAGCGUCGGUGAGGUGAUAUGAACCGUUAUAACCGGCGAUUUCCGAAUGGGGAAACCCAGUGUGUUUCGACACACUAUCAUUAACUGAAUCCAUAGGUUAAUGAGGCGAACCGGGGGAACUGAAACAUCUAAGUACCCCGAGGAAAAGAAAUCAACCGAGAUUCCCCCAGUAGCGGCGAGCGAACGGGGAGGAGCCCAGAGCCUGAAUCAGUGUGUGUGUUAGUGGAAGCGUCUGGAAAGGCGUGCGAUACAGGGUGACAGCCCCGUACACAAAAAUGCACAUAUUGUGAGCUCGAUGAGUAGGGCGGGACACGUGGUAUCCUGUCUGAAUAUGGGGGGACCAUCCUCCAAGGCUAAAUACUCCUGACUGACCGAUAGUGAACCAGUACCGUGAGGGAAAGGCGAAAAGAACCCCGGCGAGGGGAGUGAAAAAGAACCUGAAACCGUGUACGUACAAGCAGUGGGAGCCUCUUAAUGGGGUGACUGCGUACCUUUUGUAUAAUGGGUCAGCGACUUAUAUUCUGUAGCAAGGUUAACCGAAUAGGGGAGCCGAAGGGAAACCGAGUCUUAACUGGGCGUUAAGUUGCAGGGUAUAGACCCGAAACCCGGUGAUCUAGCCAUGGGCAGGUUGAAGGUUGGGUAACACUAACUGGAGGACCGAACCGACUAAUGUUGAAAAAUUAGCGGAUGACUUGUGGCUGGGGGUGAAAGGCCAAUCAAACCGGGAGAUAGCUGGUUCUCCCCGAAAGCUAUUUAGGUAGCGCCUCGUGAAUUCAUCUCCGGGGGUAGAGCACUGUUUCGGCAAGGGGGUCAUCCCGACUUACCAACCCGAUGCAAACUGCGAAUACCGGAGAAUGUUAUCACGGGAGACACACGGCGGGUGCUAACGUCCGUCGUGAAGAGGGAAACAACCCAGACCGCCAGCUAAGGUCCCAAAGUCAUGGUUAAGUGGGAAACGAUGUGGGAAGGCCCAGACAGCCAGGAUGUUGGCUUAGAAGCAGCCAUCAUUUAAAGAAAGCGUAAUAGCUCACUGGUCGAGUCGGCCUGCGCGGAAGAUGUAACGGGGCUAAACCAUGCACCGAAGCUGCGGCAGCGACACUAUGUGUUGUUGGGUAGGGGAGCGUUCUGUAAGCCUGUGAAGGUGGCCUGUGAGGGUUGCUGGAGGUAUCAGAAGUGCGAAUGCUGACAUAAGUAACGAUAAAGCGGGUGAAAAGCCCGCUCGCCGGAAGACCAAGGGUUCCUGUCCAACGUUAAUCGGGGCAGGGUGAGUCGACCCCUAAGGCGAGGCCGAAAGGCGUAGUCGAUGGGAAACAGGUUAAUAUUCCUGUACUUGGUGUUACUGCGAAGGGGGGACGGAGAAGGCUAUGUUGGCCGGGCGACGGUUGUCCCGGUUUAAGCGUGUAGGCUGGUUUUCCAGGCAAAUCCGGAAAACCAAGGCUGAGGCGUGAUGACGAGGCACUACGGUGCUGAAGUGACAAAUGCCCUGCUUCCAGGAAAAGCCUCUAAGCAUCAGGUAACAUCAAAUCGUACCCCAAACCGACACAGGUGGUCAGGUAGAGAAUACCAAGGCGCUUGAGAGAACUCGGGUGAAGGAACUAGGCAAAAUGGUGCCGUAACUUCGGGAGAAGGCACGCUGAUAUGUAGGUGAAGCGACUUGCUCGUGGAGCUGAAAUCAGUCGAAGAUACCAGCUGGCUGCAACUGUUUAUUAAAAACACAGCACUGUGCAAACACGAAAGUGGACGUAUACGGUGUGACGCCUGCCCGGUGCCGGAAGGUUAAUUGAUGGGGUUAGCGGUAACGCGAAGCUCUUGAUCGAAGCCCCGGUAAACGGCGGCCGUAACUAUAACGGUCCUAAGGUAGCGAAAUUCCUUGUCGGGUAAGUUCCGACCUGCAC